Molecule: long non-coding RNA, 285 nt
Filed under: Marmota monax (woodchuck)
Lineage: Eukaryota; Metazoa; Chordata; Mammalia; Rodentia; Sciuridae
Source: RNAcentral
UGUUAUAAUUGAUAGGAAAGAUGCAUCUUGGACAUGGAAUUGUUUUAUCUGUGGGCAUUGUGUAUCAGGACUUGUUCAUUAGGCUGGCAGCAGAGGGGCACAGGGAAACACAGAAAGAUGGAAGCAAGUGCUCAAAGAUUUACAUUUUGAUGUAAGCCACUGGUGUGUGUGUGCAUCUUCUGGCUGUACUAUAGGAAUAUUUUAAUUCACUGGGAACAUGCAUUAUUGCUAAUAUUUUAGUAGUAGAAAUCUGUUAAUGAAACAAGCUUGGUGUAUUCUGUUGCU